RNAcentral lists this ribosomal RNA (253 nucleotides) under uncultured bacterium. Its description in RNAcentral is "partial 16S ribosomal RNA". It matches the Rfam family "Bacterial small subunit ribosomal RNA", at positions 524 to 776 of the family's 1533-position model. The record is from RNAcentral.
UACGUAGGGGGCAAGCGUUGUCCGGAUUUAUUGGGCGUAAAGAGCGUGUAGGCGGCUAGAUAGGUCCGUUGUGAAAACUCGAGGCUCAACCUCGAGACGCCGGUGGAAACCAUCUAGCUAGAGUCCGGAAGAGGAGAGUGGAAUUCCUGGUGUAGCGGUGAAAUGCGCAGAUAUCAGGAGGAACACCGGUGGCGAAGGCGGGUCUCUGGGCCGAUACUGACGCUGAGGAGCGAAAGCGUGGGGAGCGAACAGG